GAUGAAGAACGCAGUGAAAUGCGAUAAGUAAUGUGAAUUGCAGAAUUCAGUGAAUCAUCGAAUCUUUGAACGCACCUUGCGCCCUUUGGCCAUUCCGAAGGGCAUGCCUGUUUGAGUAUCAUGAACACCUCAACUCUUUAUGGUUUUCCAUGAUGAGCUUGGACUCUGGGGGUUUUGCUGGCUCACAGUCGGCUCCUCUAAAAUGAAUCAGCUUACCAGUGUUUGGUGGGUAUCAUGGGUGUGAUAACUAUCUACGCUUGUGGUUUUUCCACCAGGUAACCUUCAGCAGUGGAGGUUCGCUGGAGCUCAUAGAUGUCUCUCCUCAGUGAGGACAGCCCUUUGAAUGUUUGAUCUCAAAUCAGGUAGGACUACCUGCUGAACUUAAGCAUAUCAAUAAGCGGAGGA
RNAcentral lists this unclassified non-coding RNA (405 nucleotides) under soil metagenome. RNAcentral describes it as "partial contains 5.8S ribosomal RNA, internal transcribed spacer 2, and large subunit ribosomal RNA". The stretch from base 1 to 121 matches the Rfam family "5.8S ribosomal RNA", at positions 35 to 154 of the family's 154-position model. The record is from RNAcentral.